AAUAAAAUAAUUUUUGAAAAUAUAAAAAUUUCUAAUUUUUUAAAUUUAUGGUUAAAAUCCAUUUUUAUUU
Molecule: non-coding RNA, 70 nt
Organism: Aphidius gifuensis
Lineage: Eukaryota; Metazoa; Arthropoda; Insecta; Hymenoptera; Braconidae
Source: the annotation of a RefSeq genome assembly